Molecule: long non-coding RNA, 574 nt
Filed under: Monodelphis domestica (gray short-tailed opossum)
Lineage: Eukaryota; Metazoa; Chordata; Mammalia; Didelphimorphia; Didelphidae
Description: lncRNA (ENSMODG00000041808.1)
Source: RNAcentral
UAAUUUAACAAUUGGUUUCUACCUUUUUUCAUUUCAAACUUUCUCCCUUCCCUUCCCUGUUCCCAGGUGGUGAACCAUCUGAUAUUGAUUAUUCCAGUGUUGUCAUGCAAAACAAAUUUCUAUAUUCCUUAUGUCAAGAAGGAAGACAUAUAUUAUACAUGUAAGAAGAAACUCAUGAAGGAAAUAAGGCAAGAAAUGGAGGAAAACACAAAUUCCAAGUGCUUCCCUCCACAUGGGUGAGGAUAAAAUGGAGACCAGAUUCGGAUAAUGUGUAGCAGAAAAGGUGAAGAAACUGAAGCUAAGAGGGAAAGUAUCUUUCCAACUUCCAUAAUGCUAGACAUUCUCUAAGGAAGAUCCUACUAUCUCUUGGACUAUAUGCCAUAUUUCUGACUGAAAGACUUCCAAACCAUAAUGUCUCUUCAUGGACCUUCCCUCACUACUUUAGGUCUCCUUGCUUUAGAAAAUAUAGCUACCCAUGUGACCUUCUCAAGAUAGAACAUUCCUUUGUAGACCUACUCUCUUCUUUCAUUGGUGAGUUUCCUUGGAGACUGUUUUAUAGAGGUACCAAUUCCAC